This 1421-nucleotide ribosomal RNA is filed under the name Streptococcus thermophilus. Its description in RNAcentral is "bacterial SSU rRNA". It matches the Rfam family "Bacterial small subunit ribosomal RNA". The record is from RNAcentral. Lineage: Bacteria; Bacillati; Bacillota; Bacilli; Lactobacillales; Streptococcaceae.
UGCAGUAGAACGCUGAAGAGAGGAGCUUGCUCUUCUUGGAUGAGUUGCGAACGGGUGAGUAACGCGUAGGUAACCUGCCUUGUAGCGGGGGAUAACUAUUGGAAACGAUAGCUAAUACCGCAUAACAAUGGAUGACACAUGUCAUUUAUUUGAAAGGGGCAAUUGCUCCACUACAAGAUGGACCUGCGUUGUAUUAGCUAGUAGGUGAGGUAAUGGCUCACCUAGGCGACGAUACAUAGCCGACCUGAGAGGGUGAUCGGCCACACUGGGACUGAGACACGGCCCAGACUCCUACGGGAGGCAGCAGUAGGGAAUCUUCGGCAAUGGGGGCAACCCUGACCGAGCAACGCCGCGUGAGUGAAGAAGGUUUUCGGAUCGUAAAGCUCUGUUGUAAGUCAAGAACGGGUGUGAGAGUGGAAAGUUCACACUGUGACGGUAGCUUACCAGAAAGGGACGGCUAACUACGUGCCAGCAGCCGCGGUAAUACGUAGGUCCCGAGCGUUGUCCGGAUUUAUUGGGCGUAAAGCGAGCGCAGGCGGUUUGAUAAGUCUGAAGUUAAAGGCUGUGGCUCAACCAUAGUUCGCUUUGGAAACUGUCAAACUUGAGUGCAGAAGGGGGAGAGUGGAAUUCCAUGUGUAGCGGUGAAAUGCGUAGAUAUAUGGAGGAACACCGGUGGCGAAAGCGGCUCUCUGGUCUGUAACUGACGCUGAGGCUCGAAAGCGUGGGGAGCGAACAGGAUUAGAUACCCUGGUAGUCCACGCCGUAAACGAUGAGUGCUAGGUGUUGGAUCCUUUCCGGGAUUCAGUGCCGCAGCUAACGCAUUAAGCACUCCGCCUGGGGAGUACGACCGCAAGGUUGAAACUCAAAGGAAUUGACGGGGGCCCGCACAAGCGGUGGAGCAUGUGGUUUAAUUCGAAGCAACGCGAAGAACCUUACCAGGUCUUGACAUCCCGAUGCUAUUUCUAGAGAUAGAAAGUUACUUCGGUACAUCGGUGACAGGUGGUGCAUGGUUGUCGUCAGCUCGUGUCGUGAGAUGUUGGGUUAAGUCCCGCAACGAGCGCAACCCCUAUUGUUAGUUGCCAUCAUUCAGUUGGGCACUCUAGCGAGACUGCCGGUAAUAAACCGGAGGAAGGUGGGGAUGACGUCAAAUCAUCAUGCCCCUUAUGACCUGGGCUACACACGUGCUACAAUGGUUGGUACAACGAGUUGCGAGUCGGUGACGGCGAGCUAAUCUCUUAAAGCCAAUCUCAGUUCGGAUUGUAGGCUGCAACUCGCCUACAUGAAGUCGGAAUCGCUAGUAAUCGCGGAUCAGCACGCCGCGGUGAAUACGUUCCCGGGCCUUGUACACACCGCCCGUCACACCACGAGAGUUUGUAACACCCGAAGUCGGUGAGGUAACCUUUUGGAGCCAGCCGCCUAAG